ACCUUGGUGACAAGGAAUGGAGGAGAAAAGGAACAGGAAAUUUUAAUAAGAUUAGGAGGGCUUGCUUUUCUGCCAAGUGAGCCGCUUUCACAGGAGCGAUAAAUUGGAAAUGUUAUCUGGCUUGAUAUGCCAGUUUUUCUGAGAAAAUCACUCUGCCAGUGGUGACAGAAUGGAAGAGCUGAAAACAUCUUCUUUUUUCAAAGUCAUAUGUCACGAACCAAGGAGACUCCAAAAAAUAAAUUAUGGAAGAUUAUGACCACUGCUGCCAAGGAUACAGUGAAAUAGAGUUUGUGGCAUCUGGUUUUAACUCCAAUAUGUAAAGAGCUUGGAAGCCAUCUUUCCUUCCACCACAACAAGAAAACAGCUGAACUGAAAAUCAAUGACUUUUCUUAGAUCCAUUAAAGAAUUGAGAUUGCAGGACACACUACCACCCUGAAAACUGGAGAGAGGAAAAAUACAGAGAGGAAGCAGAUCAGCUUACCUGAAGCAGAGGCCGCUGGAAUCUGUGACAGGUCCGAGGAAGUUCCUGAGAUAACUUUGUGAGUGGUCCACUAUUUCUGCAUUUCAC
This 568-nucleotide long non-coding RNA is filed under the name Homo sapiens (human). RNAcentral describes it as "non-protein coding lnc-HS3ST4-1:5". Lineage: Eukaryota; Metazoa; Chordata; Mammalia; Primates; Hominidae. The record is from RNAcentral.